Molecule: ribosomal RNA, 895 nt
Filed under: Cercosporidium californicum
Lineage: Eukaryota; Fungi; Ascomycota; Dothideomycetes; Mycosphaerellales; Mycosphaerellaceae
Description: LSU rRNA
Rfam family: Eukaryotic large subunit ribosomal RNA
Source: RNAcentral
GCAUAUCAAUAAGCGGAGGAAAAGAAACCAACAGGGAUUGCCCUAGUAACGGCGAGUGAAGCGGCAACAGCUCAAAUUUGAAAUCUGGCGCAAGCUCGAGUUGUAAUUUGUAGAGGAUGCUUCUGGCCAGCGGCCGUUCUAAGUUCCUUGGAACAGGACGUCAUAGAGGGUGAGAAUCCCGUAUGUGACCGGCGCGCAGCCUUUACGUAGCUCCUUCGACGAGUCGAGUUGUUUGGGAAUGCAGCUCUAAAUGGGAGGUAAAUUUCUUCUAAAGCUAAAUACCGGCCAGAGACCGAUAGCGCACAAGUAGAGUGAUCGAAAGAUGAAAAGCACUUUGGAAAGAGAGUUAAAAAGCACGUGAAAUUGUUGAAAGGGAAGCGCUUGCAACCAGACUUCGUAGCGAUGUUCCGCUGGUCUUUUGACCGGUCCACUCAUCGUCGCGAGGCCAACAUCGUCUGGGCCCGCUGGAUAAGACCUAAGGAAUGUAGCUUCCCUCGGGAAGUGUUAUAGCCUGUGGUGAUGCAGCGCGGCUCGGGCGAGGUCCGCGCUUCGGCAAGGAUGUUGGCGUAAUGGUUGUCAGCGGCCCGUCUUGAAACACGGACCAAGGAGUCUAACAUCUAUGCGAGUGUUCGGGUGUCAAACCCCUACGCGUAAUGAAAGUGAACGGAGGUGGGAAGCGCAAGCUGCACCAUCGACCGAUCCUGAUGUCCUCGGAUGGAUUUGAGUAAGAGCAUAGCUGUUGGGACCCGAAAGAUGGUGAACUAUGCCUGAAUAGGGUGAAGCCAGAGGAAACUCUGGUGGAGGCUCGCAGCGGUUCUGACGUGCAAAUCGAUCGUCAAAUUUGGGUAUAGGGGCGAAAGACUAAUCGAACCAUCUAGUAGCUGGUUCCUGCCGA